UUCCGGUUCUAUAUGUUAAUAGGUUUUACAUAGUUACCCCUCCCCCAGCUCUUUGUUGCCUUUCUGUGUCUCAUUCUAUUCUAACUCAUGUUUAUCUUUUAGUUCAACUCUUUGUAACAUCCCUGCAUAUCAGGAAUCUUGUCUUAUUGGUGUCUACAGAGCUCUAGGGGCCACUGAAGAAAAUGUCUCUGGUGGACUCUGGCAACCUUCAGCUGAAAUUUCUAUCCAAGAGACAGAUGUCCUAUCUUCCUCUGAGAGGGAAGAAAUAGGAAACAAAGCCUAUGUGUUUCCCAUUUCAACUGCAAACUGAAGACAUACUGACAUCACUCCAUCUCUUUUCCAAUUUUCCAGGUGAGAGAAUCUGAUUGGUCUGCUUCAGUUAGAGACUCACCUCUGAUCAAAUAAACUGUAUCCCUA
RNAcentral lists this long non-coding RNA (417 nucleotides) under Vulpes vulpes (red fox). Its description in RNAcentral is "lncRNA (ENSVVUG00000014207.1)". Lineage: Eukaryota; Metazoa; Chordata; Mammalia; Carnivora; Canidae. The record is from RNAcentral.